Molecule: ribosomal RNA, 506 nt
Filed under: uncultured bacterium
Lineage: Bacteria
Description: partial 16S ribosomal RNA
Rfam family: Bacterial small subunit ribosomal RNA
Source: RNAcentral
AGUGAACGCUGGCGGUAGGCCUAACACAUGCAAGUCGAACGGCAGCACAGGAGAGCUUGCUCUCUGGGUGGCGAGUGGCGGACGGGUGAGGAAUACAUCGGAAUCUACUCUGUCGUGGGGGAUAACGUAGGGAAACUUACGCUAAUACCGCAUACGACCUACGGGUGAAAGCAGGGGAUCUUCGGACCUUGCGCGAUUGAAUGAGCCGAUGUCGGAUUAGCUAGUUGGCGGGGUAAAGGCCCACCAAGGCGGCGAUCCGUAGCUGGUCUGAGAGGAUGAUCAGCCACACUGGAACUGAGACACGGUCCAGACUCCUACGGGAGUCAGCAGUGGGGAAUAUUGGACAGUGGGCGCAAGCCUGCUCCAGCCAUACCGCGUGGGUGAAGAAGGCCUUCGGGUUGUAAAGCCCUUUUGUUGGGAAAGAAAUCCAGCUGGCUAAUACCCGGUUGGGAUGACGGUACCCAAAGAAUAAGCACCGGCUAACUUCGUGCCAGCCGCCGCCGUAA